This 468-nucleotide ribosomal RNA is filed under the name uncultured bacterium. RNAcentral describes it as "partial 16S ribosomal RNA". It matches the Rfam family "Bacterial small subunit ribosomal RNA", at positions 28 to 507 of the family's 1533-position model. The record is from RNAcentral.
GACGAACGCUGGCGGCGUGCUUAACACAUGCAAGUCGAACGGAAAGACCCUGCUUUUGUGGGGUGCUCGAGUGGCGAACGGGUGAGUAACACGUGAGUAACCUGCCCUUGACUUUGGGAUAACUUCAGGAAACUGGGGCUAAUACCGGAUAGGAGCUCCUGCUGCAUGGUGGGGGUUGGAAAGUUUCGGCGGUUGGGGAUGGACUCGCGGCUUAUCAGCUUGUUGGUGGGGUAGUGGCUUACCAAGGCUUUGACGGGUAGCCGGCCUGAGAGGGUGACCGGCCACAUUGGGACUGAGAUACGGCCCAGACUCCUACGGGAGGCAGCAGUGGGGAAUAUUGCACAAUGGGCGGAAGCCUGAUGCAGCAACGCUGCGUGCGGGAUGACGGCCUUCGGGUUGUAAACCGCUUUCGCCUGUGACGAAGCGUGAGUGACGGUAAUGGGUAAAGAAGCACCGGCUAACUACGUG